UACGGGGGGGGCAAGCGUUGUUCGGAAUUACUGGGCGUAAAGGGCUCGUAGGCGGCCAACUAAGUCGGAUGUGAAAUCCCCAGGCUUAACCUGGGAACUGCAUCCGAUACUGGAUGGCUUGAAUUCGGGAGAGGGAUGCAGAAUUCCAGGUGUAGCGGUGAAAUGCGUAGAUAUCUGGAGGAACACCGGUGGCGAAGGCGGCAUCCUGGACCGAUACUGACGCUGAGGAGCGAAAGCCAGGGGAGCAAACGGG
Molecule: ribosomal RNA, 253 nt
Filed under: uncultured bacterium
Lineage: Bacteria
Description: partial 16S ribosomal RNA
Rfam family: Bacterial small subunit ribosomal RNA
Source: RNAcentral